Molecule: long non-coding RNA, 157 nt
Organism: Dromiciops gliroides (monito del monte)
Lineage: Eukaryota; Metazoa; Chordata; Mammalia; Microbiotheria; Microbiotheriidae
Exons: 3
Source: RefSeq, a predicted model, not a curated record
UCUCAUCAUAACUCUUAGUUGUGCUGCCAUCCUCUUCUUGGUCUUGCUCAGCUACUGUCUCAGUUGUUUUGUGGCUGCUCAUGAAGAGACCCCAAGAAGGUAUCUAAGCUGCCAACCUCAACAUUGGUGUCCCCAUUCCAGUCACCCUAGGACAUCC